AACUGGGGCUAGCAUGAUUUUUUUUGUCUUUCCUUUUUUUUGAGGAACGACAGGCAGAAAGUGACACGUCACAGCGGUCAACUGCACAUGUGGUCUAGGUCUUUGCCUGGCAGCCAUUCCAUGACCUCAUUGCUGAUCAAUGACUGUUUGUUCAAAGUAUUGGACUCUGUUCUGGCUGCACGUCACUUUGUUCCUAGGUGGUGAGGAAUAGAAGGGAUGGUUGGCGUUUACCUGAGAUGUACAUCAGGUCCCCGUGGACGGUCCCAGCGUGUCCGUAGUGAGCCUCCAUCAUGUUGCUCACAAACGUCCACUGGUUCUUCUUCAGAUUGUAGCACUCCACCGUGUCUGGCAUGGAAACACACCGUCAUCUAAAAUCCUCCUGAGCAGAGCGGACCCCAGACUUCCCUCCAGCCUGACGCUCUUGAACUCGUCGCCCGAGCACAAAAUGUUGUGUGCGAGAGUUUGGACAGCUGGAUGAGGUUCCUGUUGAUUUCGGCCACGUUCCUGCAACCUGCACGAUAAAAGGCCGUGACAGUCAGGCGGACGCAGGGUUGAAGAGGCGCUAAGAAGGCGCACCUGAUAAAGCCAUGGAGAGGCGGAACUCGUCGUUGAGGAUUUGCAGCACCUCGCGCACGCCCUCCUCGCCCUGGAACACAUGAUGUGCUGGAAUGAAGCAAGUCUCUAAUGGAGCCGCUGGCUUCCACGGCCCAGAGAGCAGGCGAUGUCUUCCAGAUGGAUGACAUGAUGGACUUCUUUGAGUCUGGCUUCACAUUCUACCAGGAACAUGAUGGACUUGUUUGAGUCUGGCUUCACAUUCUACCAGGAACAAUCCCUUCUGCGCCUCACUUGAUUAGCGCCGAGUCGGCACAAUCUAUUUGGGUGUCAGAGUCUUGCAUCUGGCUUCUUUUAGGACCUGAUCAGCAUCGGCCAUCUUCCAUUAGCCUCGCCCGCUAGCGUCCGCUCACCCGGAAAAAAAGCGCGGUCCCGUCGGCGGGGCUCAUUAGGGAUUCGAACUCGCGUCAGUGCGGUUAUGGACAGUUUGCUUCAUUCGGGAGCCCUGAUUGGUCGUCCUCCAGAUGAGCAGCUGCUACACAUGUCAGCCUGGAUGAACAUCUGGACCGACGCUGACGCUAGGUUAGCCAGCUAGCUGCAGCUAGCUAGCCAGCGCCGGUCAAUUAGCUUCAAUCUCUGCCAAGGACGUUAACCUUUUAAGAGUUGAAGGAUAAUAAAUCAGUGUGUUAUUCACUUUUCAAAAUAAAACUAAAGCUAAAAAUGCCACAUAAAUCAAUGUUUUCUUUUUUUUCCAGACCCGAAACAAAACAAAAAAGUAAAACAAAACGUUUUUCCAAUUUCCGAUGUUGUGCAUUGCAUUUAUUUUGUAGUUAUUCUUGUGUUGCAAAUUUUGAUUGUUUUGUUAUUUUUGUACGACCGGCUUAAAUUUUCUUUUGACUUUUUGGGGUUAUUAGUUUACGACAUGCGUUUAUUUUGUAGUAUUUUUGUUUGGCAUGAUUACCAUUUUUAAUUUUGGAUUUAGAUAGUUAUAUAUUUUUUUGUUAUUUUUAAUAACAUGUCUGAUGUUUUUUGUAAUUUUUUAAAAACGAAAUAAUUAGAUUUAUUUUGGUUAUUUUUGUAUGACAUGAUAAACUUUUUUUUUUAUUACAUAAUUAGAUUUUUUUAGUUAUUUUUAUGACAU
Entelurus aequoreus (snake pipefish) is the source of this 1693-nucleotide long non-coding RNA. RefSeq lists it as uncharacterized. The record is from RefSeq and is a predicted model, not a curated record. NCBI's taxonomy places the organism in Eukaryota, Metazoa, Chordata, Actinopteri, Syngnathiformes, Syngnathidae. The transcript has 6 exons.